Molecule: ribosomal RNA, 411 nt
Filed under: uncultured fungus
Lineage: Eukaryota; Fungi
Description: SSU rRNA
Rfam family: Eukaryotic small subunit ribosomal RNA
Source: RNAcentral
CUGGCAAGUUCUUUGCCAGCAGCCGCGGUAAUUCCAGCUCCAAUAGCGUAUAUUAAAGUUGUUGCAGUUAAAAAGCUCGUAGUUGAACUUUGGGCCUGGGCGGGCGGUCUACCUAUGGUUUGUACUGCUGCGGCCGGGUCUUUCCUUCUGGCUACCCCUCCGGGGGGAACCAGGACGAUUACUUUGAGGAAAUUAGAGUGUUCAAAGCAGGCCUUUGCUCGGAUAUAUUAGCAUGGAAUAAUAGAAUAGGACGUAUGGUUCUAUUUUGUUGGUUUCUAGGACCAUCGUAAUGAUUAAUAGGGACGGUCGGGGGCAUCAGUAUUCAGUCGUCAGAGGUGAAAUUCUUGGAUUGACUGAAGACUAACUACUGCGAAAGCAUUGCCAAGGACGUUUCAUAUCAAGACGAAAUGG